UUGAUUAGUUCAUAGUUCAUCAAAUAACUCUAUACUCUUUUUGGGGGGGUCACUUCAUUGGAAGAAGAGAAAGCUGUAAAGGAAGUGAAGCCCAAAGCAGAGGUCAAGAAAAAGGCAGCAUCAACACCAAAAGCCAAACAAGCUAUUAAAGUUGUGGGAAAACCUGCUCCAGAUGAGAAGAAAAUGGCAGAAGAAACCAAAGAGAAAGCAGCCGAGGCACCAGCAAGCAAGAUACCGUACUUCCAGUGUGUUUUAAUGAGCUCAAAAUCCAGCCAAUAUCCACUGCGGCCCAUGUCCCCUGCUAUGAAUCCAGCUAUUAACCCCACCAUGAUGAGAGCCAUGAUGGAGCAGAGGGCCGCAUUACUGCAGCAGAAAGCCCGUGCAGCUGGCCAGUAACUGGACGACAGACCCCUGGCAGGUGCAAACUGCUUAUGAACUGCUAUAAAAACAUAGUGCUGCUGGGCUCUCAAGAGCUAUCUUCCUAAACCAUCAGAAACUUUGGUUAGAAACAAAUAAUGAGUAGAGGUCCCUGGUUUCUCAAUGGACGCUCUCCAUUCUUUCAUAAGUGAUUUUUGAAUCUGACCAGUUUCUCAAUUUUGACAAAAAAGAGAUAUAAAUAAAUUCUAAUGUACAUUUUGAAAUAUAUUUAAUGCAUAAACACC
Molecule: long non-coding RNA, 662 nt
Filed under: Sinocyclocheilus grahami
Lineage: Eukaryota; Metazoa; Chordata; Actinopteri; Cypriniformes; Cyprinidae
Description: lncRNA (ENSSGRG00000048248.1)
Source: RNAcentral